Molecule: ribosomal RNA, 1346 nt
Filed under: uncultured bacterium
Lineage: Bacteria
Description: bacterial SSU rRNA
Rfam family: Bacterial small subunit ribosomal RNA
Source: RNAcentral
GACGAACCCUUUCGGCGUGCUUAACACAUGCAAGUCGAACGGAAAGGCCCUGCUUUUGUGGGGUGCUCGAGUGGCGAACGGGUGAGUAACACGUGAGUAACCUGCCCUUGACUUUGGGAUAACUUCAGGAAACUGGGGCUAAUACCGGAUAGGAGCUCCUGCUGCAUGGUGGGGGUUGGAAAGUUUCGGCGGUUGGGGAUGGACUCGCGGCUUAUCAGCUUGUUGGUGGGGUAGUGGCUUACCAAGGCUUUGACGGGUAGCCGGCCUGAGAGGGUGACCGGCCACAUUGGGACUGAGAUACGGCCCAGACUCCUACGGGAGGCAGCAGUGGGGAAUAUUGCACAAUGGGCGGAAGCCUGAUGCAGCAACGCCGCGUGCGGGAUGACGGCCUUCGGGUUGUAAACCGCUUUCGCCUGUGACGAAGCGUGAGUGACGGUAAUGGGUAAAGAAGCACCGGCUAACUACGUGCCAGCAGCCGCGGUGAUACGUAGGGUGCGAGCGUUGUCCGGAUUUAUUGGGCGUAAAGGGCUCGUAGGUGGUUGAUCGCGUCGGAAGUGUAAUCUUGGGGCUUAACCCUGAGCGUGCUUUCGAUACGGGUUGACUUGAGGAAGGUAGGGGAGAAUGGAAUUCCUGGUGGAGCGGUGGAAUGCGCAGAUAUCAGGAGGAACACCAGUGGCGAAGGCGGUUCUCUGGGCCUUUCCUGACGCUGAGGAGCGAAAGCGUGGGGAGCGAACAGGCUUAGAUACCCUGGUAGUCCACGCUGUAAACGGUGGGUACUAGGUGUGGGGUCCAUUCCACGGGUUCCGUGCCGUAGCUAACGCUUUAAGUACCCCGCCUGGGGAGUACGGCCGCAAGGCUAAAACUCAAAGGAAUUGACGGGGCCCCGCACAAGCGGCGGAGCAUGCGGAUUAAUUCGAUGCAACGCGUAGAACCUUACCUGGGUUUGACAUGGAUCGGGAGUGCUCAGAGAUGGGUGUGCCUCUUUUGGGGUCGGUUCACAGGUGGUGCAUGCCUGUCGUCAGCUCGUGUCGUGAGAUGUUGGGUUAAGUCCCGCAACGAGCGCAACCCUUGUUCACUGUUGCCAGCACGUUAUGGUGGGGACUCAGUGGAGACCGCCGGGGUCAACUCGGAGGAAGGUGGGGAUGACGUCAAGUCCUCAUGCCCCUUAUGUCCAGGGCUUCACGCAUGCUACAAUGGCUGGUACAGAGAGUGGCGAGCCUGUGAGGGUGAGCGAAUCUCGGAAAGCCGGUCUCAGUUCGGAUUGGGGUCUGCAACUCGACCUCAUGAAGUCGGAGUCGCUAGUAAUCGCAGAUCAGCAACGCUGCGGUGAAUACGUUCCCGGGGCU